CUAUAGGAAAUUUGGUCCCCAAAUUUAGCUUACCUUAAUAGAAUAGAUGAGGAUACUGCUCUCGCAUAUCUUCUUCUCUUUCCCAUGUUGCCUCUUGGUCUGAAUGGUGUUGCUAACAAAUCUUUACCAAAGGUAUAAUUUUGUUCCUUAGAACAUGUUCUUUUCUUUUCAAGAUCUGGGUUGGUUGUUCUCUAAAAGUGACAUAAUCUCGUAAUUGUAGAGGUUGGUAAGAUAUGACAUGUGAUGGAUCCCUGAUAUAUCUUCGAAGCAUUGACACGUGGAAUACAUCAUGGAUGCUAGCCAAAGCCGGGGGCAAUGCCAAUCUGUAUGCUACAGGCCCAACCUUUUGUAAGAUCUCAAAUGGCCAAUAAAUCUUGGGGCUAACUUCCCCCUUUGACCACACCUCAUAACUACCUUGGUUAGCGACACCUUUAAGAAGACAUGCUCACCAAUUUCGAACUCUAGAUCUCUUCGCCUUCGAUCUGCAUAACUUCUUUUCUGAUGACUUUAAGCGGUUAAUAAUCUUUGACGUAUAAUUCGAAUAUUAUCAGCAUCUUUUUGAAUUAAUUGAGGCCCCAAAAGCUUCUGUUCUCCUACCUCAUCCCAAUAUACAGG
This 615-nucleotide long non-coding RNA is filed under the name Musa acuminata (dwarf banana). RNAcentral's name for it is "long non-coding RNA (MACU_LNC008845)". Lineage: Eukaryota; Viridiplantae; Streptophyta; Magnoliopsida; Zingiberales; Musaceae. The record is from RNAcentral.